CUGGGAUCCUUUCCAAACUUGAGAUACUCUGAUUAACGUCGCCAUUUUUUACAGAUGAGGAAACUUGGGCUUGGCAUGGUUAAAUGGCUUUGCACAGACCCUACAUCAGUGAAGUGGCAGAGAUGAGCCGAGGACCUAUGUUUGUCUCCUAGCCACAUCAAGACUUAAGAAUCAGUACCUCUCUUCCAUGAACUAUUGAGUACUAGAGUUGUGGACCCAGCUAACACCCCAGAGGAAUAGGCUACUUCAUUUAGGAAUGGACAUUUCCAGUGGCCAAGGCAGAUUUGGAAUGAAAAGACUAGUACUGAUUGAAAAGGAUGGCUUCCAUUGCAGACUUCACUAAAAUGUUCUACUGGUAUCCAAAGGGGUAUUGGGAGGACCAAAUAACUUCUUCGGAAAUAUUAAGGCAUCAUAUAAUCAUCAGUUUGGAAGUCUGUGGGACAUAG
Molecule: long non-coding RNA, 446 nt
Filed under: Monodelphis domestica (gray short-tailed opossum)
Lineage: Eukaryota; Metazoa; Chordata; Mammalia; Didelphimorphia; Didelphidae
Description: lncRNA (ENSMODG00000045019.1)
Source: RNAcentral